AGUGAACGCUGGCGGCAGGCCUAACACAUGCAAGUCGAACGGCAGCACAAGAGAGCUUGCUCUCUGGGUGGCGAGUGGCGGACGGGUGAGGAAUGCAUCGGAAUCUGCCCAUUUGUGGGGGAUAACCUCGGGAAACCGGGACUAAUACCGCAUACGACCUACGGGUGAAAGCAGGGGAUCUUCGGACCUUGCGCAGAUGGAUGAGCCGAUGCCGGAUUAGCUAGUUGGAGGGGUAAAGGCCCACCAAGGCGACGAUCCGUAGCUGGUCUGAGAGGAUGAUCAGCCACACUGGGACUGAGACACGGCCCAGACUCCUACGGGAGGCAGCAGUGGGGAAUAUUGGACAAUGGGCGCAAGCCUGAUCCAGCCAUGCCGCGUGUGUGAAGAAGGCCUUCGGGUUGUAAAGCACUUUUGUUGGGAAAGAAAAGCAGCCGGUUAAUACCCGGUUGUCAUGACGGUACCCGAAGAAUAAGCGCCGGCUAACUUCGUG
RNAcentral lists this ribosomal RNA (490 nucleotides) under uncultured bacterium. Its description in RNAcentral is "partial 16S ribosomal RNA". It matches the Rfam family "Bacterial small subunit ribosomal RNA", at positions 29 to 507 of the family's 1533-position model. The record is from RNAcentral.